GAUGAACGCUGGCGGCGUGCCUAAUACAUGCAAGUCGAGCGAACAGACGAGGAGCUUGCUCCUCUGACGUUAGCGGCGGACGGGUGAGUAACACGUGGAUAACCUACCUAUAAGACUGGGACAACUUCGGGAAACCGGAGCUAAUACCGGAUAAUAUAUUGAACCGCAUGGUUCAAUAGUGAAAGACGGUUUUGCUGUCACUUAUAGAUGGAUCCGCGCCGCAUUAGCUAGUUGGUAAGGUAACGGCUUACCAAGGCAGCGAUGCGUAGCCGACCUGAGAGGGUGAUCGGCCACACUGGAACUGAGACACGGUCCAGACUCCUACGGGAGGCAGCAGUAGGGAAUCUUCCGCAAUGGGCGAAAGCCUGACGGAGCAACGCCGCGUGAGUGAUGAAGGUCUUCGGAUCGUAAAACUCUGUUAUUAGGGAAGAACAAAUGUGUAAGUAACUAUGCACGUCUUGACGGUACCUAAUCAGAAAGCCACGGCUAACUACGUG
This 497-nucleotide ribosomal RNA is filed under the name uncultured bacterium. Its description in RNAcentral is "partial 16S ribosomal RNA". It matches the Rfam family "Bacterial small subunit ribosomal RNA", at positions 28 to 507 of the family's 1533-position model. The record is from RNAcentral.